Aegilops tauschii subsp. strangulata is the source of this 2650-nucleotide non-coding RNA. NCBI's taxonomy places the organism in Eukaryota, Viridiplantae, Streptophyta, Magnoliopsida, Poales, Poaceae. The record is from RefSeq and is a predicted model, not a curated record.
CCACAUAGGCGGGCCUCUCCGGCGGCGGCGGCAACCUGCAAGGAGAGGGCGACGACAUGGAUCGGUCCCUGUAGGAGAGAGAAGAUGGGAGAGAGGCAGAGAAGAAAGGAUAGGUGGGAGAAUGAGAGAGGAAAGAAGAGAGGGAGUCCCAGUGGUGGAUAGGAGAGGGUCACUGGCCGGCGCCGGCCUACGGCGGCGAGGUCAGAUGCGAUCUGGAGGGAGCAUGGGAUCGACGACAGCGGCUGGAAGCCAGGAGGGCUGGCCGAGGACGAGGGUGAGGACGCGAGGAUUGAAGAGGGUCUUCCUGUGUUCAUCGUGUGGCCAAGGAAGAGGACAACGCCGCGGGGUUGAAUAGGUCAUCCCUUUGGUCACCGCCUUCCUUGUCCAUGCUCUACUGCUGGGUGAAGAUGAGGGUUUUCUCCAAUGAUUAUGGUGGCAUGAGGAGGAGAUCGACGGCCAGAUGCUUGUGGCUGCCGCACAAAACAUGAUCGCUUGCUGACCUCGAUGUCCAGCCGCAAUGGAUUGUCCCCAUGAGUGGUGAUGCAGUCCCUCGAAUUUAUCCCUUGUCGCGUGUAUCCUGUAGUAAGCAUAACCCGAUGCACCUCCAUGUCGGCUUAGAUCUGGUAUGACUGCUUAUUUGCUCUAAUGCUGGCUUGCUAUAUGGUUUUAUUCUCAUUUUUCAUGCCAGACUUGUAAUUUUGGUUGUCACAUUUUCAUAUCGUAUGAGGAAGAAGUCUCUUGGGUUGCUCACACAGAAUUUUGCCAAGCUGUUCCUCACCAUGGAGCAGGUUAGCCUGAGCUCACUUGAUGAAGCUACAAGGUUCCUCCUUGGAGAAGGCCAUGAGGAGUACAAUACGAGAAGUUAGUAAUUCUUUGGUUGCAUGACUAUAAAUACUAAUCCAAGGCGUUGUUGCUCUUUGUCCCCAUCGCUAGCCAGGUUUUCACAUUAGGGGUGGAGGAAUAGGGGGCAAGAGGCCAGCGGUGUGGGUGGAGUAGAGAGGCUAGAGACCCAGGCGGUGGAUGCCUUAUGGGUGGAGGAGAGGCUGACGAUGGGGACAAGGAGCAACAGCAUCAUGGAUUUGCAGGGAAGGGGAGGUCCCGGCGGUUAAAGAUGGUGUGCACGGGAGGAGCUCAGAGCGGCACUCCCAUGGAGGGAUGAUGAUGUCAAGGUGGAAGGAUUUUAUGAUAUAAAAGAGAACAACAAGAGGGUUUUCAUCUUUUUUAGCUGCAGGUAAAACAGUUUAUGUUCAAUAAAAAUCAUUGUUCAGUUUAGAUAAUCCAAUUUACAGAUGUUCAGUUAUAUAACUACUAAUUAUGAGUUUAUGGACUCUGUUCAAAUGUUGCAAAUGCAUGCUCAUUUGAAUUUCUGAGUAUAAAUUUUCUUCCAUUGGUGAUUCUGCUAUAUGCAUCUGAAAAAGGUUAUGUGAGGAGGUGAGGAUAAUUGGAUAAACAUUAUUUCAGAUCCACCCGACUCAUCCCAAGUUUUUGCAAGGCUCGUCUGCACACAUCAGUAGCUAUGGAAAGAAAGCUUGUACUGGAGUGGGUUCCUUUGUAUGGUCUUGGAAGAUUUUGCGGUCAAAGAGACGACCUCUGAAGCCCAUCAGAAAGCAUGGCAACGACUGAAGGUUAGCGCAUUUCAAGAAGCGCCUACUUCCAUAGGGUGACAAUCACGUGUAGGAUAAAGUGCGAUGUCUUGCCCGAGGGGUUGGAGCAGGACUGCAGGAGGAGGGACAAGAUCUUGCUAUUAAUGAACUGUCUAGAAUAAAUUGUGGAAAAAUCACUGUGAUGGGAAUUUCCUGCAAUAUAUUUGUUUGUUACACAAAAAGUUGCAUAUAUGUGUUGCUGAGACUCUCGAGCAGCGAGAAGCUGGAUCAACCAUGGAAGUUGUCGCUGUACAGACAAAAGCAAUUGCUGACAAGAUCGAGGACCAGGCCAAUGUGGUCGUCGCGCACAAACCAGUGUGGGCCAUUGGCACCGGUAAAGUUGCACCAUCGGCGCAGGCACACGAAGAGGCUGAAGGUGGUAGCUUACUGAACACUCAUUUUGGAAAAAAUCUGGACAUGUGUAGUGCUGAUAAAGAAAUGCAGCUGCUACCUGGAUUUGCCGCUGCCACUGCCUCGAGUCGCUUUUGCUUGGAAAUCCAGUUGCCAGCAUGGUAAUUUCUUUCGGGUCUCAACUCUCCUCAUGUCUCCCGCACUUGCUUGCUACAGGUUCUUGUUGUAUGUGUGCUUGUUGCCUUAGUGACGUGUGUCCAGGCACGCAUCGUCUUUGUCUGCCAGGGUUGGCGCUGCUACUUAGUCGGUUACAGCGAGUAGGAAGCUGAUAGGGUGGUAUUUCUCCCUGGUCAGCCAAGGAGGUCGCAUGUCUCUCGGUUCUCUGGGCAUGUCAUCGUGAACCAGCAGAAUGGAAGGAUGCUCUUCUCCUAGUUCUUGGAGGCUCAGGCACAGCCCUGACGCAAGCCUCUCCUUCUCUGUCUCAAUUGGGAUUUCUUACUUCCCUCAUUCACUUCUUUUUUGUUUUUUCACUUAGUCACUUAUUUCUGGAAUGGUUUUGUAGAUAUCAUCUUGUGCUCCUUGCAGUUCAAUAAUGUUUUUGUUGCUACUUGGGGUGCAUACCUGAAGUAAAAUAAGUAAUAUUUUUGUUCCAUGUA